RNAcentral lists this ribosomal RNA (502 nucleotides) under uncultured bacterium. RNAcentral describes it as "partial 16S ribosomal RNA". It matches the Rfam family "Bacterial small subunit ribosomal RNA", at positions 29 to 507 of the family's 1533-position model. The record is from RNAcentral.
AGCGAACGCUGGCGGCGUGCCUAACACAUGCAAGUCGAACGUGAAAGGGGGCAAUCCCAAGUAAAGUGGCGUACGGGUGAGUAACACGUAGGUAAUCUACCCCAGAAUCUGGAAUAACCGGCCGAAAGGCUGGCUAAUACUGGAUAGAGCGACGGAAUCCGUAAUUGGGUUUUUCGGGAAAGGGAGCCCGUAACAAGGCCUUCGUUCUGGGAUGAGCCUGCGUCCCAUCAGCUAGUUGGUGAGGUAAAAGCUUACCAAGGCAAUGACGGGUAGCUGGUCUGAGAAGACGGUCAGCCACACUGGGACUGAAACACGGUCCAGACUCCUACGGGAGGCAGCCGUGGGGAAUCUUGCGCAAUAGACGGAAGUCUGACGCAGCAACGCCGCGUGAGUGAAGAAGGCCUUCGGGUUGUAAAGCUCUGUCGAGUGGGACGAAAAUGCUUGGAGUUCACAGCUCCAGGAACUGACGGUACCACUAAAGGAAGCACCGGCUAACUCCGUG